UACGUAGGGUGCAAGCGUUAAUCGGAAUUACUGGGCGUAAAGCGUGCGCAGGCGGUUUUGUAAGACAGAUGUGAAAUGCCCGGGCUUAACCUGGGAACUGCAUUUGUGACUGCAAGCUAGAGUGUGUCAGAGGGGGGUGAAUUCCGACGUGUAGCAGUGAAAUGCGUAGAUAUGUGGAGGAACACCGAUGGCGAAGGCAGCCCCCUGGGAUAACACUGACGCUCAUGCACGAAAGCGUGGGGAGCAAACAGGAUUAGAAACCCGUGUAGU
Molecule: ribosomal RNA, 270 nt
Filed under: uncultured bacterium
Lineage: Bacteria
Description: partial 16S ribosomal RNA
Rfam family: Bacterial small subunit ribosomal RNA
Source: RNAcentral